CCGGCCCAACCCGGGUGAAACCAGAGCGCCCACCCUGCAACUGACCUCCCGGGGCCCCGCCUCCGACACCGCCCCUUCCCGGGACCGCACCCCUGAACCCCCUCCCUGGGCGGCCGGAGAGUCCCCCCGCUGCACCCCCAAAGCCCAUCUCCUGCACCCCGGUGCACGCGCGCCCGACGGUGACUUUUGGGGGGCUCCCUGUCCCUGGCCCAGCAGACACCUUCUGCAGGAUCCCCCCCACACCCGUCCCGCCAACGUGGCCACUUUGGGAGGGGGCGGGAGGAGGGGUAUAAAGGGCCCAGGCUGCUGACCAAGCCCCGCGACGUGGCUCGCCCACUCUGCCCCUCUGGACUCAGUUUCAGCCUUGCUGCUGCUGUGAGACCACAGAGACGAAGAUGGAGAGAGACUGAAGAAAACACUCCCGAGAAGAGGGGGCGAUGGCUCUGUGUGUCGCCUCUGUCCUGACUGAGGAGCCGUAAUCGCUGCUCUGCCAGGCGUGAUGAGAUGGUGAUAACAGUAUGAAUGGCCUCAGCCGGAGGCCCAGGUGGUGGGUGGGUGGGUGGGCAGGACCCGGUCAAGUCCACAUGUAGGGAGGAAGCUCCACAAGUGAUGAAACCAUGCUUCAGGGGUCUCUCUAUGCCCCCUCCCUCUCAGUUGACCUCUGUCUCUAUCCCAGAGAGGGGGAGGGAUGGCUCAAUCCGUGGGUGGUGCACCCAGUUGAGUGCACACGUCACCAUGUGCAAGGACCAGCGUUCAAACCUCCAUCCUCACCUGCAGGGGAGAAACUUCAUGAGCAGUGAAGCUGGUCUGAAGGUGUCUCUUUCUCCCUCGCUAUCCCUCCCUCCUCUCUCAGUUUCUCUAUCUUCCUCUCCUAUCAAAUAAAACAGGGAAAAGGAGGAAAAAAAUAGCCACCAGGAGCAGUGGAUUUGUAGUACUUGCAUGGAGAGCCCCAGUGAUAAGCCUGGAGGCAAUAAAUUAAGACAAACAAAACAGAAAAUCCAAGGUAUGCCCACCAGCCCGUAUGUUCUACUAGAAGGACUCUCCUACGUGUUCUUAGAAAAGUGUCAUCACUCAGCGCACCUUCCCUUAGUAGUUCAGCCUUGCAUUUGAUUCCAACUGUGGGUUCAGAAGACCCCAGUCUGAAGCUAAGGAGGCCUUUUUCCCUGGUCAUCAAGUUUAAAUGUCUAGAUACAGAGAUUUUUUUGGCCACCCAGAUCCUUUGCACUAACAUGAGUGAAGCACCUUAAGUCAUCUGUUUAUGGGUCUUGAGAGAGAGGCGGGAAAUGCAAAGUUUGAAAGAUGUUUUUGAAUACCCAGAGAAAAUGCAGCUGGCCUGUGGCACAGAGAGAAAGCCUCCACCAAUGGCUUCCUGAGUAUUAUUUUCUGACGUGGAGCCUUGAAUCUCUGUAAGCAAAGAGUGGCUAUCCUAUAAGAAAAGGAAAAAAAAAAAAGAUAUAUGAUCCACCUACUAAUCAAUAUCCUCUUACUCCACUGUCUUGGGGAAUAAAGUUUCAGAUUUAAGUGGCUUUGAGAGCUUAUUUUCAAAAAAGAAUGUUCAUCCCACAGAGGGUGAGAAAUAUAAAUUUUUCUGCCUUAAUGUUUCCCAUCAUUUAUCAGGGAGAUUAGCAACAAGUAACUUUGAAUUAAGUGGAGAACAGCAGGAGGGUGAGCUCCCCCGGGGCCGGCACUUCAGACCCUCCUAACUGUCCCCACCCUUGUGAUCUCCAUGCACAACAUCAGGACCUGUCCUGUCUACACACCAGCGCAGCCCCCCACACAGAAUCUGCAGGGUUCUAGGACAGUCAGCACUCCCCAACCUCACCCACUGUCCUCUCUGGCAACUCUCCUGUUUUUAUUUGAAUUGCAACCUGCCUGGAUCUGGGAAAUUUGAAAUUAAGACAAAAGAUUUUUUUUCAAUUAAAAUUUUCCGUCGUUGUCUCUA
Erinaceus europaeus (western European hedgehog) is the source of this 1942-nucleotide long non-coding RNA. RefSeq lists it as uncharacterized. The transcript has 2 exons. The record is from RefSeq and is a predicted model, not a curated record. NCBI's taxonomy places the organism in Eukaryota, Metazoa, Chordata, Mammalia, Eulipotyphla, Erinaceidae.